GCCGAGGUGGUGGAACUGGUAGACACAAGGGACUUAAAAUCCCUCGGUAGAAAUACUGUACGGGUUCGACUCCCGUCCUCGGUACCA
This 87-nucleotide transfer RNA is filed under the name Zetaproteobacteria bacterium CG_4_10_14_3_um_filter_54_28. RNAcentral describes it as "tRNA-Leu". It matches the Rfam family "tRNA". Rfam says of the family: Transfer RNA (tRNA) molecules are approximately 80 nucleotides in length. Their secondary structure includes four short double-helical elements and three loops (D, anti-codon, and T loops). Further hydrogen bonds mediate the characteristic L-shaped molecular structure. tRNAs have two regions of fundamental functional importance: the anti-codon, which is responsible for specific mRNA codon recognition, and the 3' end, to which the tRNAs corresponding amino acid is attached (by aminoacyl-tRNA synthetases). tRNAs cope with the degeneracy of the genetic code in two manners: having more than one tRNA (with a specific anti-codon) for a particular amino acid; and 'wobble' base-pairing, i.e. permitting non-standard base-pairing at the 3rd anti-codon position. RNAcentral also lists the same sequence under 2 other names. Lineage: Bacteria; Pseudomonadati; Pseudomonadota; Candidatius Mariprofundia. The record is from RNAcentral.